AUGAAGCGAGAAGGGGUUUGCACGAGAAGCCAGACCAAGAAACAAAAAGUUUGGACAGCUUGGCGAGGAAAUUCGCAUCCGGACAAUCCUUUUGAAGAGGAAUUUGGCAGCUUAAGUGAUUCUGGCCAAGGUGUCUGGACGGAACUCAGUGAAGAAGUCGCCUCAAACUUAGCGGGCACUGUUGUAUCGCUUGCUUCAUUUGCUGAUGGAAACGCCGUGUUUUUUGCAUGCACCGGCAUAAUUAUCGUAAACAAGCCUACUUUUACAAGUUUUCUGACUUCAUUAAGUUUGGUUAGAUCUAUUGAUGAUGACACCAAGAUCCUUCAUGAUAUGACGAUUGAAGUGCGCCUUCCGGAUAACACACUUGAACUGGGAUGGUUGGAAUCCUAUGAUUUGAAAUACAAUGUCGCGGUUAUCAAUAUCGGUCGCUACCAUUCUCUUCAAGUAGCAUGCCUAGAUCAUCAGCGGCAAUUUGAGUCUCACAGUAAAGUAGUUGCCGUAGGGCGUUGCUUCAACUCAGGAAAACUAAUGGCCACAGCUGGGAUGUUGACCGACAAUCCACAAGGAGCUUACCGGGAGGAGCUUGCCAUCUCCACAUGUGAAAUUACUAUGGUGCGGUGUUAA
This 624-nucleotide ribosomal RNA is filed under the name Triticum aestivum (bread wheat). Its description in RNAcentral is "partial small subunit ribosomal RNA". The record is from RNAcentral. Lineage: Eukaryota; Viridiplantae; Streptophyta; Magnoliopsida; Poales; Poaceae.